RNAcentral lists this ribosomal RNA (432 nucleotides) under uncultured bacterium. RNAcentral describes it as "partial 16S ribosomal RNA". It matches the Rfam family "Bacterial small subunit ribosomal RNA", at positions 29 to 506 of the family's 1533-position model. The record is from RNAcentral.
AACGAACGCUGGCGGCAUGCCUAACACAUGCAAGUCGAACGAGACCUUCGGGUCUAGUGGCGCACGGGUGCGUAACGCGUGGGAACCUGCCCUUAGGUUCGGAAUAACUCCCCGAAAGGGGUGCUAAUACCGGAUAAUGUCUUCGGACCAAAGAUUUAUCGCCUUUGGAUGGGCCCGCGUUGGAUUAGCUAGUUGGUAGGGUAAAAGCCUACCAAGGCGACUAUCCAUAGCUGGUCUGAGAGGAUGAUCAGCCACACUGAGACUGAGACACGGCCCAGACUCCUACGGGAGGCAGCAGUGGGGAAUAUUGGACAAUGGGCGAAAGCCUGAUCCAGCAAUGCCGCGUGAGUGAUGAAGGCCUUAGGGUUGUAAAGCUCUUUUACCCGGGAUGAUAAUGACAGUACCGGGAGAAUAAGCUCCGGCUAACUCCGU